GGUUUUCUUUUGAUUUUCCAAAUUAUGUACAUGACAUUUAAAUAUGAAUAAAGGCAUUGUGUUUUAUCAUAUGCUGUUGAUUAUAUUUGUGAUAAACCCCUUAGAUUAGGGCAAUGGUUUUGAGGCUAUGAUGAGAUCAUACUAGUGAGACCUAAAAUCCUAAAAUCCUAAUCUUAAAUAUUCAAAGUCAUUGGUACAUUGAGUCGGGGAUCAAUGUUUACCAGAAAGACUGGCACAUCCUNNNNNNNNNNNNNNNNNNNNNNNNNNNNNNNCACAAUCACUUGUGUGGAGACACUAAUACAAAGAUGUGGGUGCUCAUUAGAAGAAUGAGCUCACUGAAUUGACUUACAAAGAGAAAUCUUAUGAAGUCUUACUUACAUGUCAAAAGAUGAUUCUCUUAGUGGGAGUUGUGCAACUGAUCCUAUGACCUGAGAUCACCAUGGUAUCUUGUGCACAUGAACCCAUGUUUUGGUUUACACUCAUUCAUUACAAUAAGUUGUGUACGGGGUCUUCUGGAUAUGGUGAAUUGUGUACGAAGAUUAUGAGUAGGUCAACAAGGAAUUAAUCACUUCUAGUAAGAGAAGAUAGCAUCCUAUUUAUUCUAAUCAUAUGAUAAUUCAGGAAGCCUUUGAUCAAAGCAGAAUGAAAAUUAGAAAGAGUUUCUAAUGUUUCAUUAUUUGAAUUAUCAUUAAAAGGUUGAGAAAGAUAUGAAUAUGAAUUGAGUUUGAUAUAUAUUCAUACUCAUAUACAUAUUCGGGAUGCAGUUUGAUUAAAGGAUUGAAUUGCAUGGUAACUUGCUACUGAAGGGUAUUUUGGUAUUUCUACCAAAUUUCAUAUUUUCCGGGUAGACAUGACAUGUUGCUAGACGUCAAUCUUGUCUUAUAGGUUUGAUCGAAUUAAAGAGUUUAAUUCGAUCACCAAUUAGAAAAGAUUCUAAUUGUUAAGUUCGGGUUCGCGCAGUUUGGACUUAAAUCGAUUAGAAAAGUUCUAAUCAAGUUGGGUCAACUCGCACUCACACCUAUUGCUGGCUAAGUAUGGAACCCAAUGGGUCACACACAAGGAAACUUAUCAAGGGUCUAAUUUGAUUAGAUCAUGUUUGCAAGAUAAACAUCCUAGCAGGUGUUGCAAACCCUUAGCUCCUGAUUCGAAUUGGAUUCGAAUCUGAUUCGAAUUGGAUUCGAAUUUGAUUCUUAAUUGAUCUAAUUUGAUUAGAUCAUGUUCUAAUAUGGGUUAGCCAAGAGUUGGCACCUAAUUGGCUUGGUUUGAGUCUAAUUGGAUUAGAUUUGAUAAAUCAUUCAAUCUAGACCGUUAGAUUUUGAUCUACCGUUGAAUGAAGACAUAAUGGAGAGUUGGUUUAACCCAAUUGGAUUGGGUUAGAGGAUGGCUAUCAUAAUUGACCAUUGGAUCUUAAUCCCACCAUUGGAUGAAGACAUAGUGGGUCAAGUGAAUGGCGCCUUGUAUUGGAGCCCUUGGAUCAUCAUCAUGAAAGAUCAAGAGGUGAGGCAUGAUGGACAUGUGAUUGGCAUGUGAUGUUGACUUGGUCAAAAUAUGGCACCACAUGAAAGGAUAUAUCAUUUGAUACACCUCCUCACUUGAUCUGUGCCUCCUCUUAUUUGAUAUGGCCCUUUAGAUGAUGCCCUUUCAUGAAAGGAUGUGUGGAUGGGAUGCAUCCCUUGGAGAUGCAUCCCUACGCCUAUUAUAAAUAGGCUAGCGCUCCAUGGGUUUCAUCAUUCCAACUCCACCGCAUUCUCUUUCCCUUAUCCCUUCUUUCUUACAAGGCUUUGUCUCUUUCUAGCAUUGCUUCUAGGGUGUCCUAAUCCAAGACAAGGUGGUCUUCUUUAGGAUAAAAGGAUUAGAAGUGAUUUU
This 1866-nucleotide long non-coding RNA is filed under the name Phoenix dactylifera (date palm). RNAcentral describes it as "long non-coding RNA (PDAC_LNC009130)". Lineage: Eukaryota; Viridiplantae; Streptophyta; Magnoliopsida; Arecales; Arecaceae. The record is from RNAcentral.